Molecule: ribosomal RNA, 253 nt
Filed under: uncultured bacterium
Lineage: Bacteria
Description: partial 16S ribosomal RNA
Rfam family: Bacterial small subunit ribosomal RNA
Source: RNAcentral
UACGUAGGGGGCAAGCGUUGUCCGGAUUUAUUGGGCGUAAAGAGCGUGUAGGCGGCCAUACAGGUCAGCUGUGAAAACUCGAGGCUCAACCUCGAGACGUCGGUUGAAACCGUAUGGCUAGAGUCCGGAAGAGGAGAGUGGAAUUCCCGGUGUAGCGGUGAAAUGCGCAGAUAUCGGGAAGAACACCCGUGGCGAAGGCGGGUCUCUGGGCCGAUACUGACGCUGAGGAGCGAAAGCGUGGGGAGCGAACAGG